CCUACGGGUGGCUGCAGUGGGGAAUAUUGGACAAUGGGGGCAACCCUGAUCCAGCCAUGCCGCGUGUGUGAAGAAGGCCCUCGGGUUGUAAAGCACUUUCAGUGAGGAAGAACGCCUGGUGGUUAAUACCCAUCAGGAAAGACAUCACUCACAGAAGAAGCACCGGCUAACUCCGUGCCAGCAGCCGCGGUAAUACGGAGGGUGCGAGCGUUAAUCAGGAAUUACUGGGCGUAAAGCGCGCGUAGGUGGCUUGAUAAGCCGGUUGUGAAAGCCCCGGGCUCAACCUGGGAACGGCAUCCGGAACUGUCAAGCUAGAGUGCAGGAGAGGAAGGUAGAAUUCCCGGUGUAGCGGUGAAAUGCGUAGAGAUCGGGAGGAAUACCAGUGGCGAAGGCGGCCUUUUGGACUGACACUGACACUGAGGUGCGAAGGCGUGGGUAGCAAACAGGAUUAGAUACCCCUGUAGUC
Molecule: ribosomal RNA, 466 nt
Filed under: Vreelandella stevensii
Lineage: Bacteria; Pseudomonadati; Pseudomonadota; Gammaproteobacteria; Oceanospirillales; Halomonadaceae
Description: partial 16S ribosomal RNA
Rfam family: Bacterial small subunit ribosomal RNA
Source: RNAcentral